ACUCCUACGGAAGGCAGCAGUGGGGAAUAUUGGACAAUGGGGGNAACCNUGAUCCAGCCAUGCCGCGUGAGUAAAGAAGGCCUUAGGGUUGUAAAGCNCUUUCACNGGUNAANAUAAUGACGGUACCCACANAAGAAGCCCCGGCUAACUCC
RNAcentral lists this ribosomal RNA (152 nucleotides) under uncultured Alphaproteobacteria bacterium. RNAcentral's name for it is "partial 16S ribosomal RNA". It matches the Rfam family "Bacterial small subunit ribosomal RNA", at positions 335 to 504 of the family's 1533-position model. The record is from RNAcentral. Lineage: Bacteria; Pseudomonadati; Pseudomonadota; Alphaproteobacteria.